GCUUAGAACUGUGAUCCUCAAAUCCCAGCCUCCUGAGUAGCAAGGAUUAUAGGUGUGAGCCACUGGCACCUGGCUCAGACAUGUAUUUCUUAAGAUGAAUUUGGUUACUUGAUGUUUAUAUUCUACGGCACAUAUGAUAGAUGAUAAAAUUCUGUAAAUUUCAAGCUAUGGUAACCGAUGAUGCUCACACAAAGGAGUUCAUAAAAUAACAGCUUGCUUCAUUAGGUAGAAAAAUAUUUGGGAUAGUUCUUUAAUGUAUCUUAACAAUGUGGGGGAAAACUAUUCAGAGAGCAUAAUAAAAAAAUAUUUUACUUUCUAAAAUUGCUUUUUAUGAAAAUUGUCCACUUUUAAGUGCUCAUAUUUGACUAAAUCUAAAGUUGACAAUUUCACAUGAGACUACACAUUUUAGUCAAUUUACCUACUGUGAAACCUGUAUUUGCAAACCAUUAGAACAUAUGUCAGAGCAUGUUGCAGUGGGCUCCGAUGUUUUAUAAAAAGAAUAUCCACUUUGGGCAAUGACUUCCAGAAAGACUUAUGCCCAAAGGAAAAAUGAGUGGCUAACCUCAUAGCCACACUCCUGGAGGGUGUUCAAUAAAAGCUCACAAAACAUACCCAGAGUCACAGAACUGAAAGCAAUGUUACAUUUCUCCUCUACUUGCAGACGGGAAGAACAGCAACAAUUUUAGACACACACCUUGUAAAAACUGUCAGAAAACAGGCUACAUUUUUGCCGAUAGCUUUGAAGUUCUUGUCAUUAGUCAUGAGAAAGCUAACAUCACACAUUGAAAUCUGUUAACAUUACAUGUAAUACAUUCCAAAUCCAAGUACCAUGUUUGGGGUAGUUUCCCGAUGCCCCAUUAUUAUUGAGCAUUUCUGCAUAUUUUAUUUUUGGAAGCUUUAUAAUUGUUUGCCUUCUGGAUCUUCUUCAUGCACAGAGAAAACACAGUGAACAGAGGGGGUUGUACCCUUAGUAGACACACUUCAGGAUAACUAUUAAUGAGAAUUUUAGUGUAAAGUACAACAGGCAAGACUCAAUUGUAAACUAAAAAUUACAAAUGUUGUAAAAAUUCUCCAAUAAACUUAUUUUACAUUUUAUUAAAAAGAGAAAAAACAUUUUUAGCACUAAACUAUUUCUUUUAAUCUGAGUUCAGAUGUUUUAUUUCUAAUUGGCCUUCAGAUUGCAGCAGCCCAUAAGUUUAGCUUUGAAAGUUCUUAGUACCCAGACUGUCAUUGAGCCAAAGACCUCAAGACACACAAACACACACAAAGACACAAGGACACACAUACACCUACACCUUUUCUAGUAAACAAAUCUGUUACAGUGCUGGAACAAUGUGACUGUUAGAACUUUUUAUAUCCAGUUUACUUUUUCUGAAAUUGAGACAUUUAUAUUAUUGAAACAAGAAUCUCUAGUACACAAAUUUUCUCUGUAACCUCAGUAUAAUUCUUGAUGGCAAAUUUUUCUUCAUUCACCUGAAGGAGAAUGAAGUGUGGAAGUACAAACCACUGCAAAUGGUCAAAACAAAACCA
This is a long non-coding RNA of Dipodomys spectabilis (banner-tailed kangaroo rat), 1530 nucleotides long. RefSeq lists it as uncharacterized. The record is from RefSeq and is a predicted model, not a curated record. The transcript is spliced from 2 exons. Lineage: Eukaryota; Metazoa; Chordata; Mammalia; Rodentia; Heteromyidae.